AUUUUAUUAGUAUAAUAAUGUAUAGUUGACUUCCAAUCAACAGGUCUAAUAAUUAGAUAAAAUA
This 64-nucleotide transfer RNA is filed under the name Petrobiellus sp. 1 JZ-2014. RNAcentral's name for it is "tRNA-Gly". Lineage: Eukaryota; Metazoa; Arthropoda; Insecta; Archaeognatha; Machilidae. The record is from RNAcentral.